UGGUUCCGGCAUCGAUGAAGAACGCAGCGAAAUGCGAUACGUAGUGUGAAUUGCAGAAUCAGUGAAUCAUCGAGUCUUUGAACGCACAUUGCGCCCUUUGGUAUUCCGAAGGGCACGCCUGUUCGAGCGUCAUUUCAACCUCAAGCUUUGCUUGGACUUGGACUAGCAUUGCUGGUCUUAAACUUGUUGGCGACAGUUCCCUAAGCGUGAUGACUCACGGCGAACGGGAGGCUUGUCUGUUUAACUCAUUCUUCUGGUUGACCUCGGAUCAGGCGGGGAUACCCGCUGA
RNAcentral lists this unclassified non-coding RNA (289 nucleotides) under uncultured fungus. RNAcentral describes it as "partial contains 5.8S ribosomal RNA and internal transcribed spacer 2". The stretch from base 1 to 132 matches the Rfam family "5.8S ribosomal RNA", at positions 22 to 154 of the family's 154-position model. Lineage: Eukaryota; Fungi. The record is from RNAcentral.